AGCGAACGCUGGCGGCAGGCCUAACACAUGCAAGUCGAACGAACUCUUCGGAGUUAGUGGCGGACGGGGGAGUAACACGUGGGAACGUGCCUUUAGGUUCGGAAUAACUCAGGGAAACUUGUGCUAAUACCGAAUGUGCCCUUCGGGGGAAAGAUUUAUCGCCUUUAGAGCGGCCCGGGUCUGAUUAGCUAGUUGGUGAGGUAAAGGCUCACCAAGGCGACGAUCAGUAGCUGGUCUGAGAGGAUGAUAAGCCACAUUGGGACUGAGACACGGACCAAACUCCUACGGAGGGGAGCAGUGGGGAAUCUUGCGCGAGGGGCGAAAGCGCGACGAAGCCAUGCCGCGUGAAUGAUGAAGGUCUUAGGAUUGUAAAAUUCUUUCUGCGGAGGCGUUAAUGACGGUAACCGGAGAAGAAGCCCCGGCUAACUACGUG
Molecule: ribosomal RNA, 433 nt
Filed under: uncultured bacterium
Lineage: Bacteria
Description: partial 16S ribosomal RNA
Rfam family: Bacterial small subunit ribosomal RNA
Source: RNAcentral